CGGGGGCUAUCUUCGCCUCACCCUGGCACCUCCUCUUGGGUGCCUUCCGGGGACUGGGGAACUGCGCGCGGGUGGCUGUCCAUCUUGUCUACCUGCCCAGCAGGUGCGGGGCCUGCAGCAGCUCACCCAGCCCCCUGUGCUGUGUCCGGUCCGGUGUCCCUUUCAUGUGGGGCCUGGCCCUCCCGGGGACAGCGCACUCCGUCCUCGAGCUGCCCCUCUGCAAUGGUCACAGGAAAGACACGCCAGCUCCCUCCUUCUCAGAGAGACCUGAGGCCCGUGGAGAGGCUGGCCUGGGGUCGCACAGAGCCUGGCUGGUGGGACCCACACUGGCCGAGGAGCCGGCCUGAGCCUCGGAAAGGGGAUGCUGAAGGCUUUCUCACUCCACAGCCUGCCCAGAACCAAUAGGCUCUCCAGCCUCUUGGGUACCUUGGCUCCAGCUGCUGUUUCUUCUGCCUGGAAAGCUGUUUUCCUUUAUUCAAAGCACAACCAACAACGAUUUAUUGAGUUCUUUUUUGUUGAGUGCCAUUGAGUCCAUUCCAACUCCUAGUGCCCCUGUGUCCAGCAGAGGGGAACCUUGCCUGGUCUUUCUGUGCCAUCCUCUCACCUUCCAGCACUCUAUCAGAUGAUGCUCCACUGCUAUUCACAGGGUUCUCAUGGCCAGUUUUUUUCAGAAUUAGGCGGCCAGGUCCUUCUUCCUAGUCUGUCUUAGUCUGGAAGCUCUGCUGAAACCCAUCCACCAUGGGUGACGCUGCUGGGAUUUGAAAUAGCGGUGGCAUAGCUUUCAUGGUGGCACAGCAACAUGCAACCACCACAGUGUGAAAAAUGACAGACAGUUGGCGUGGUUCCUGACCAAAAACAAACACGGGCCACAGUGGUGAGAGUGCCAAGUCUUGACUACUGGACCACCGGGGCUGGCUAUUGAGCACUUACCCUGUGCUUAUUCAGGGUCUUACAUUCUAGAAGGGAGGCAGAUAAACGUUCGAAUACAGAGGAAGAAAAAUAAAGCGGAUCGUGCUCCCUGCCAGGUAGAGUUACGGAGGAGGGCGUGCCUGGGUAUGAGGGUGCCCUACAGCAGGGAGGUCAGGAGGCUGCCCUGAGGACCUGCAAUCUCAAUGACGAGAUGGGGACCAGUGACGCAGAGGCCAGAGAAGGUCAUGCUGGGCAAGGAGAAGCGCAGGGCAAAGGUCCUGAGGUGGGACUGAGUCUGGUCGCCAGAGGGAUGGCGAGUGGUGGGUCUGGAGCUUCAGGUGUGGGCAUGGAAGGGGGGACACAUGAACACCCAGGGGUGCUUCCCGGGAAUGAGGGAGAACCAGCAGGUGGCUCUGUGUCUCUAGACUCAGCUGGCCUGUCUGAGCACUGGGUCCAUCACAGCCCUGUUCCCAGGUAUCAAAGCUGGAGAGCCAUCAUGGCGACAGGCAGACAUCUCUACUCAAGCAGCUGGGGGACCGUUGUAGAAGAGAGUGGACCUCUGAGACGUGGUCCCUGCGAGGAGAAUUGGAUCUAUUGUGGGAGAGGGGUUCUAGGCGUGUUUAACGGUCACAGCUAUUCAGAGAUGAGAAGAGUCACCGUGAGAGGUGGUGAGCUGCUCAUCGCUGGCAGAGUCCAAGGGGAGCUAUGCUUGGAGUCAGAGUCUGGUGGCACACUGACCCUGGUGACAGAGCACAGGGGUCUUGGCUACUGGAGGGGGUGGGACUAGCUGACAUGGGGGUCUCCCAGAGCGGUCUCUGUGUUGCUGGGUGUGGAAGCACGUCGGUGCUGGAGAAAGGUGCGCGCUCCCGCAGACUUGGCCUUCGGGUGGUCUGGGCAAGACUGCAGAGUUGACUCCCAGCUCGGGGCUGGAAUGUGCCCCGGGCUGGACAAAUUUUGUCACUUGAUUGAUUUCUUCCCGGCCCUAGAGGCAAGUGAAGGGAAGAUUCUUGAUUUGAGGAGACCAAAUUAGGAACAGAUGUCUUUUCAAGCUAUUAAUAGGUGGCCGGGGAACAAGGGGCCUCAUUUUUAAAUGCGCCCACGGCGGGCCUGGUGCCGCUGCCCACUGGAAUGUUUUGCGUCGGGGUAUUUCAUAGUCUUGGUGGUGGAGAGUCGUUUCUGGGAGUCGCCAAGCCCCCGAUGCUCC
Long non-coding RNA from Equus asinus (donkey), 2113 nucleotides. NCBI's taxonomy places the organism in Eukaryota, Metazoa, Chordata, Mammalia, Perissodactyla, Equidae. The record is from Ensembl.